RNAcentral lists this ribosomal RNA (404 nucleotides) under Actinomycetes bacterium. RNAcentral's name for it is "Actinobacteria bacterium partial 16S ribosomal RNA". It matches the Rfam family "Bacterial small subunit ribosomal RNA", at positions 355 to 776 of the family's 1533-position model. Lineage: Bacteria; Bacillati; Actinomycetota; Actinomycetes. The record is from RNAcentral.
UGGGGAAUAUUGGACAAUGGGCGCAAGCUUGUUCCAGCCAUGCCGCGUGAGUGAUGAAGGCCCUAGGGUUGUAAAGCCCUUUCACCGGUGAAGAUAAUGACGGUAACCGGAGAAGAAGCCCCGGCUAACUUCGUGCCAGCAGCCGCGGUAAUACGAAGGGGGCUAGCGUUGUUCGGAUUUACUGGGCGUUAAGCGCACGUAGGCGGACUUUUAAGUCAGGGGUGAAAUCCCGGGGCUCAACCCCGGAACUGCCUUUGAUACUGGAAGUCUUGAGUAUGGUAGAGGUGAGUGGAAUUCCGAGUGUAGAGGUGAAAUUCGUAGAUAUUCGGAGGAACACCAGUGGCGAAGGCGGCUCACUGGACCAUUACUGACGCUGAGGUGCGAAAGCGUGGGGAGCAAACAGG